GGACAGUGAAAAAAAGGGAUUUAUAAAUAAAAUCUAUGCCAUCCAGGAGGUAUGUGUGAGUAUCCAGAACAUCCUAGAUGAAGUGGCUUCCUUUGGCGAAAGGAUAAAGAAGUGAGUGAUGCUGACAUGUGAGCCCUGGCCUUCUGUGGGACAGGGUAUCCAUUUAUUUCUUGAAGGGUGAAAUGCCACAUUCAUUUUGGCAGGACAUACUCCUUCUGGGUGAUCUAUUGCUCAGUUUCAUCAUCAUUUACUUUGUUUCUGCCAGUCUUUGGUUUUAUGAAAGUUCUGUCAAUUUCUUCCCUGAAAUUUAGAACAUAUUGGUUGGAAAGAAGUCAUACUUGUAGCUUUGAAGAAAUAACACCAUCCUAAAUUUUAGCACAUUUUUCACAGUGAAAGACUUUGUUCUUAAAUGGAAUAUGCAAUCAUGAUAGAAAAAAAUAAAUCAAGCUAAAUGAUGAUUUCAGGUAAUGAAUACACUUGUAUUUUAUUAUUGGUCUAGUUAUAGUUUCAAGUUACUCUAUAUUUAAAAAAAAUAUUAUGUAUAGCACCCUACAGAAAUAUUCCUAUACUCUAUUCCUCCCGCCCACCUCAGGAAUUGAACCUAGAGGUGCUUUACCACUGAACCAUAUCCCCAGCCCUUUGUAUUUUUUUUAUUUUGAGACAGGGCCUAAGUUGGUUAUGACCUCACUAAAUUGGGGAGGUUGUCUUGAACUUGAGAUCCUCCUGACUUAGCCUCCCAAGUCACUGGGAUUACAGGCCUCCAUGCCCGGCCCUAAACUCAGAUAUUUUAGUUUAAAUAUCUGAGAUCAUAAUUAUCAAUGAAACAAACUUUUGCCAUCUAGAAAAAUCGCAGAAUUUUUAUACUUAAAAAUUCGAAUCUUGGGCUGGGGAUGUGGCUCAAGCAGUAGUGCGCUCGCGGCGCUGGGUUCAAUCCUCAGCAUAAAAAUAAAGAUGUUGUGUCCACCGAAAACUAAAAAAUAAAUAUUAAAAAAUUCUCUCUUUUUUAAAAAAAUAUUAGAAUCUUAAUUUUUUAUACAGCUUCAUUGAGAGCUAACAUAAAAUUAAGGAACUUACUUUAUCUUAUUGUUUUAUUAUUUUAUUUACUAAUACAUUUUUAAAAAUUAGCCAGGUGUGGUGGUACAUGCCUAUAGUCCCAGCAACUUGGGAGGCUGAGGUAGAAGGAUUUCAAGUUCAAGGUAAGCCUGGGCAGCUUAGUGAGACUGUCUCAAGGUUAAAAAUUAAAAAGGACUUAAAAGGCCUGGGGUUGUAGCUCUAUAGUAAAUUGCCUCUAGGUUCAAUCACCAAUACCCCCUCCCCCGAAAAAAGUUUACUUAGGAAAAAAAAAACCGGUAAGGUGAAUUUACAGUAAUUGGUUAUGAGUUGAAGCCAUGCUAAGGCCUCAUAAACUACAUGAAACUGGCCUGUGUAAUGAUUGCUAAUGAUCUAGUCAAGAAGGGGUACAAUGUAUCUGGAUAAGCCUGGUUUUCUUAGUUUAAAUAUCAAUCUUUUUUAUUGAUAACCUAAAGUAUUCUGCAGAUUUAGAUCCUUGGACAUACACAGAAUUUGAAAGGAGUCAAUUAUUUAAACAAAAGGUGUGAAUCAUUCAUUGGUCCUUUCUCUCUCGCUCGCAAAUGUACCCCUAAACAAUAUUCAGCCUUGGACUUUAAAAGACUCACUCCCACGCCUUUUCUCUCUCCUUCUUCCUCCCUGUGCUAUUUCUAAGAAUGUUCCCUGUACUCUCUACCCUAUCCACUGAAGCAUAGUGUGGCCUAAAUUUGGGGCAUUGGUAGCCCUAAAUUUGGGACAUUCUUUUUACUUUUCUCCGGAGUACAUCAUAUACUGAUAAUGUGAUGGAAACCUCUCAUUUAUACCAGAAGACCAUGGAUCAGCUCUGAGAUCAGACUAAUGAACACCUGAGGGAAAGAAAGCUUUUUUAACUCUGAAUGGUGGGAGGACUCAAACAGAGAACAUGAUAGCUAGCUGAAGGAUAUGAUCAGAGUCUGGAGGUGGACCAGCUCUGGGGGAACCUGGGCUUUGUAGAAUUUUCUGUGCUGAGGUACAGGAAUAUGGCAUAAGAUUGAGUAAGUCUUACAGGAGCUAUAUCUUCUGUAAAACAAUAUUUUGGAUACCAAAAAAGCAAAGUUCCCCUGGGGUCACAUAAGAUUAAAAACAUCAUCCAGAAAGCAGAUUCAGAAGUGAUCUUUAAGCACAAAAUGAAAUCUCUAUAAACACCAUGUCUUGUUACUAAAUAAUCAUUCCAGAACUUUCUUGAAUUGCAACUCUUUUUUGGGGAAGAGCAUAUUCUAGAUUUAGAUUCCAUAAUGCAAAAUGUAGAAACAGAAAAGGGCAAGCUUUUUUCCCUACCACUAGCUACAGUGGUGAGGAUUCUUUGCCAUCUAUCCUUCCAAUAAGAGAAAGAAAAACACAGGGAGUCCUUCAGUGGGGCUGCCCAGAAGGAAGGUUUUCCAAACGAAGUGCCAGUGCCCUCACACAUGGAGUGGUGUGAUGGAUGGCUCUGAACUGAGCCGUAGGAAAGAAAGCCUUCUGUUCUCUCCACAAGCAGGCAGAAGCAAGGAAAGCACAGGUGUCCAUCAAGGAAGUAAAGCAUGAACCUUACCUACUGACACAGUCUCAGGAUGCUCACUCUGACCAUAAGAGGAAAAAACAAAGAAAAGCCAAAAAUCCAAGGGUUAUUGAAAACAGGACAGCCAACUUAUCCAAUUUUGAAUCAACUUAUCCAACUUUGGAUCGUUUACUAGAACAAACAAUUUUAGGUAACAAUGAACCUAGGGAGACACAAAAAAGCAAGCUAAAAGACAUAAAGCUAAGGAACAACUCUUAUGUGUUAAGCUGAGGUAUAGUAUAGGAAAAAAAUUUCUUAGUAAUCACCCUUCAUUGGAUCAAAACUGCCCUGACAAACCCCACUCCAAAUGACUAUAACAUGCAUUACCAAGAAAUUAGAAGAAAUAAAUUUUGUAUUUUCUGAAUUGUGUUUGGAGUCCUUCUCACUGGAAGAAAUGACACACUUUAGACUCCUGGAGUUGAUUAUCUCUGAUCACCUUGAAUCACAUAAAUAUGCUGCAUCACAACCAAUCUUUCUUGAUAUAACAGAAGCUAUCCUAAUGUUCUAAAGGAGAUAACCUAGGGUUAGAGAUGUUGACUCAUACAACAGAAUCCAGGCUUUGAAUAUAGAUCUCUUUACUUCUUGGCUCAUUUCAUGAAACUACUGUUAGACUCAGUAGACACAAUAUGUUAGUUUCUCUUUGGUACUGAACAUUAUAGAGAUUUCAAAAAAAAAUGCAAUGGUGUAUCUGUAAAUAGUGAUGUUUAUGUAUACCUAACCUAGAGGCUCAAUGCAUUUCUAUUUAUUCUAUAAUUUUGUUAUCUGAGAUUCAUCACAGAACUUCUACACAGAAAGCCUUAAAUAGAAUCUUUCCAUCUUUCAUUUCCUUGAUUCUCUACACUCUUUUAAAAAAAGUUCUACAUCAUCUUUUUUGUGUGUGUGUCUUCAUUUUCCCUGUUGUUCCACUAAAUUAUUUCCCCAUUUCCUUACUUUUUGUAACAUCCCCUACUCUUGUUCAUUGAUCCUGUUUCUGCUUUUAUCAUGUCUUACUGUUAAUACUUACUGUCUUGUAGCCCUCUGGGACCAAGUCCUCCACGUUAUCAAUCACCAGCAGUAUAGCAACACUACAGACCCAUUAACCCCAGCCUACUAUAAGCAUACUUUUCCAGUUUGUAUUCCCUUUUCACAGUUUAUCCUACAAAUCCAUCAUGUGCCAUUCUCUCCCAAAGUACUAGAGGGAGAAUAACAGGCAAUGCUGAUGUUAUUUCUUAAUUACCUAUCUAUUCCUGAGGAGAAGGGCAAUAAUAGCAGGUAAAGCUUUAUAAGGUUAAUUGCUUUGUCCCCCUUUCCUUAUUUAUAAUUCCAUUUGAAACAUAACUGAGUAAGAAUUCUAAAAUUUAGAGGGUUUAUAUCAAAGUAUAAGAACUGUGUCUAUAGACAACUGCUAGAAACAUUUUAUUCCCAAUGUGGGAAAAACUGAGUGAAGGUUGGUAGAGGGAAGAAUGCCCAGGGUAGUUCCACUCCUAAAAAACAAAACAAAACAAAAACAAAGAAAGAAAAGGAGGCUGGGUAUUAGUUUUAGCAGGAGAAAAAUGAAUCUUUUUACCAUGUGUGGAGUCACACAAACAGUACAAUAGCUCUUUUUGCUAAAGAGUUAGGUAAUAGAAUGUUAGUUCCUCUUUGAUAAGUGAAUUACAUAGAUUUCAAAGAGUACAAGUGAUUAGACUCUGAAGUUGUCCACUACAAUCCAAGUGGGCUUCUAUAUUCAUGGAAUUGAGCAAAUCUUGAGUAACCUGUGUCCUCUGAUAAGCCUACCACAGUUGGCUUCUACUCCAGAGAAAAAUGCAGACUGAUUAGGUUCCAAAUUAGUCAAAAUCACAUUUAUUUUAAUCUUUGUUUGAAAAAGGUGUGAAGUGCUCAGAUUGCUGAUGUGUUAUAUUUUUCACUUAGUACUUUCAACUGGACUGUUCUAUUCUUAUGCUGGCUGGCCAUUGUAGCCCUCUGUGUGUUCACAAUCAUCCUGUACUUCGUUCCACUAUGAUACAUUGUCCUUGUCUGGGGUAAGUAAAAAGUCUUUUUAAAAUUUUUUUUAAGUGUCUUAACUGUUAAGAAUAAACUAUUUUUAAGGGAUGAGUUAUACUCUCAGUAGUUCACUAUAUUUAUGGUCAUGUGGCUAUUCUAUGAUGAAAUGAGACAGAUCAGUUAAAAAUCACAACAGUGUAAAGAUUUAGGUCUACCUGAAAAAUGCAUUUUUCUUAUCUGGCACCAUAGGCUCUAUCAGACUAUAAAGGUGUAGUUGUGCAGAUUCUUCAUAUAUCAAAGUAUAGCUUUGUCUAGAUAUUGUUAUGAUUUAUUUUCACCACUUACACACAAGCAGGAGCAUUUUGAUCCAUAUGAUCCAUUUAGGACAAUAUGCUUUUUUGCUGUGGUACAUUAUUCUGUGGAAAUGUAUGUAAACAUGGUACUGUUUAUGGCUAUUUAAGAGGUCACCUUUAAGAUUCAGGAGAAGGGUUGUUGGCAUUUAUAGGCUUCUUAGGAACAAAAAUACUUGUUUUAUACAUAAUGAACAAGAAUGCUUCUACAAAAAGCUACUUGAAAGGUGAUAUUUUUAAAUCUAAAUUUUAAUAUGAUUUUGCUGCAUGCUAACAAUUCCUACAUACCUAGCUCCAUUUAAGAGAUAAUUUAUUUCAGCAUUCUUUAUAAUGUGUCACCCCCACUUCUUUCGUGACAAAGUUCUUGGUUUACAAAUCCCCUUUUCAGUCUUUAAGAUCUAACAUAUACAACUACAACAUUAAUGACAUAUAUAAACAAGAUGGGGCAGAGUAAGUCUCUACUUGUCCUUACCUACAUACACAUACGUCUAAGAUUGCUAAAGUAAAAUGCAAAGAAUACCAAUGGAUCUUAACUUCAGAAAACAUGUUUACACUGAAAGGAAAGAGAUUAAAGGGAGUUUUUUAUUCUCUGUUUUCAAGACCUUAAAAGAAAUAUUCUGGAAUAAAGUAAUCUGUUGCCAAGGCCUCUACUCUUAAGAUUCCUAUUUCCAUAUUCUUUUUUGGCCCAUCUUUAGCAGGCCUUCCAACCCCUUACCAUCACUUUUAAACAUGGGGUGGGUGACAAUUAUUUUUUCCUAUCUUAAUUACUAUAAUUAACAGAAAUUCAGUUAUGAUACUAUACAAGGAAUGAAGCAUUUCCACCAUAUUCUUAUUUUCUAUUGUAUAUUCAAGCCCUCAUCUGUUGUUCCUUUCUGAUAUUAAAGCAGAUGUUCUAUUAUUGAAGGAAUCAAGGUACAUUAUCAUGUGUGGUAGCUUAUUAACACAACCUAAUAGGGUCACACUUGCCAAGCCAUCUCUGCUACUAAACACCCUCACCAACCCAACCUACUUUCCCAGGUUCUUAGAAACUGGAGGUCAUGGCCAACAUCUGGCUAUGUAACCUAUGGGGCCUCACUGGCUAGCUGUCUUAAAAGUAAUUUUAGAGAAUGUGCUUGGGUCUCUUGUUUCAUCAAAUGAAAUAAAACAAGAAUAUGCUUUCAAUGGUAGGUAGCCAGAAAUAUAAGAAAGUUCUUACAUGAUAAUACAGAGACCAAAGUCAAGAUUCCAGUUCAUUCUGUAUGAACUUCAUGAAGAAGAGUUGAGAUGAUCUAGUUUGUUUCAGUUUUUGUCAGUGUGUUGAUUUCAUGUACAACUAUUUUUUGAGAAAAAGCUGAUAGCAAUCCCUCUCCUAAUGCUUGAAAAAAAUCAAGGUCAUGUGUCUUCUAGGCAUUUAGCUUGCUUAAGGGCAAAACCUCCCCACAAAAAAAGAUAUAUCUUUUAAAAAGGGGAAAGCCAAUCAAGUAGACUUCCUGCCUUAACAAUCUCAAUCUAAAAAUACAGGAAGACAAUUUUCAUCAUAGCCUUAUCAUUCCUUAUAGCUAUGCCCAUUUGUGUCCAAAACAGAAAGCUUUUUUUGCUAAAAAGGAACAAAAUGUGCAAAGAGAAAGAGCAGCAGCUAAGUUGGGAAAAGGGGAGAAGCAGGAAAGCAACAUAGGUUGCUUUAUUCAGUCAAGGUUGAGGGGUAGCAUAUAAGCAAGAUCUUCAAAUCACUGUAAUACUUUUGCCAGACAAAUGCUUUGUAUAACUUCAAACUUUGGAGAUUUCUAUGUUUGACCUAUCAUUUUUUUAGGCAUCAAUAAAUUUACAAAAAAACUUCGGAGUCCAUGUGCAAUUGAUAACAAUGAGCUACUUGACUUCCUUUCCAGAGUCCCUUCAGAUGUACAGGUGGUAUGUAUAAUUAUUACUUUGAUGAAAUGUGGCACUGAGUUGUAACUUUUAUAUCCUUUCAAUGUCAAAGUUUUAGAAAAGCCAGGUAAAGUUAAUAAAGACUGUGGAAGAUUUUCCCAGUCAGGACGUUAGUCAACUUGGAGUGUUAUCCAAGAAAAAUUUAGCAAAGAAUGGCGAGUGUGAAAAUCAGAGUAUGCUGCAUAAAGAACCUACCAGAGGGGCUGGAGUUGUGGCUCAGCAGUAGAGCGCUCACCUAGCACUGAGAGGCCCUGUUCGAUCCUCAGCACCACAUAAUUAAUAAAUAAAUAAAUAAAUAAAUAAAUAAAUAAAUAAAAUAAAGUUAUUGUAUCCAACUACAAUUAAAAAAAUAAAUAUUUUUUUUUUUAUAGAAACCUACCAGAGUUGUCAGGAAGAAUCCUCCUUUACCUAAGUUCAGCUGGAGUUUGUCAUCAUGACCUGAUGGGAGAAAAUAGGACUAUUAAAUGAGAGUAAAAUUUGUCAGUAGACACUUAAGACAAAAAAAUUUAUUUCUAGAGUAUGCACAUUUAAGUGAGUUUUAAAGAUGCAUAUUUUAGAUCACUGAGGGGGAGGAAGCUGACUACUUUUUAAAGAAUGGGGCACAUUUUUAAAAUACUUUGAAAUCCUUCAAGGUUAAAGUCCAUUAAACCAUCAACUAUUUUCAGAAUAAGUUUUUUUUUUUUUAAUCAAAAUCUUUAAGGUGAGUUGUAGCUAAUAACUUUUUCCUGUUUCAGUUCAGUUUUUCAUUUGAUAUGUAUGAGAAUGGGCUGGAUGAAGAUUAAGACAGUAUGCAACAGACAGUAAACUGCAAAGAACCAUUAUCCAGUCCUUCAAAACAGAUUGAGAUAGUUUUGCUUUUCAUGUAUUAUGGUCAGUGAAGACCCUAGCCCAUUACCAAAGUUCACAUCAGGGUUCCAUGAAAUUUUUGGUAGGAUUUCCUUUCUGACUUCUGCUCUAUCAUUCUUAUUGUUUUGUGCAUCCCAGCUGCAGAUCCCAUAAUGCUCUAGAGCAUUCCACCCCCCUCCCCCAGCAUAGUCUUUCAUUGCUUUGCUUUUCCUUCCUUUGCCAGAAAGUGGCCACCUGACCAGUUUUUCUCUGAACUCUGUUUAAACAGGUGCAAUACCAAGAACUGAAACCAGAUCCUUCUCAUAGCCCAUAUAAAAGGAAGAAAAACAAUCUUGGCUAGCCAGCUCCCAGCACUGAGGAGACCAGCAUCUGUUUGGGAAGAUAAAAGAAAAAGCCUUCAGCCUCUGCAGCAUUUCCUUUCUUUCUGCUUUUUAUUUAUUUUGCCUUUUUAUCAUGAUAGAAUUUGUAAAUAUUGUACAAAGGCAUAUGUCUUUGGAAAUAUACUUCCAUUGUACAGACUCAACUUGAUAACAGUUUAACUACUACUGUGUGAAAGUCUUAUUAGCUAUGGAUAAUAAUAUAAUAUACCGAAAGAACAAAUGUAAGGGUGAUAACACUGGAAGACACACACUUCUCUAAUUACAAGUAGAAGAACCAGAAUAUUAGAUAAAAUGCUUAACUCUGAUUAAAAUCAAAUUAACAUUUAAAUUUUAUGUAGAUUUAAAGUUUUUCUUAAAUGUGAAAAAAAAAUAAAAAAUAAAAAAUGUGACUAUUUUUUAUCUGAAAGGUAAUCCAUUACAUUUUUCUAUGUUUUAUACAUUUCAAGAAAGGGCAAAUCCCAAAGUCUGAAUUGAAAAGGACACACUUCAAUCUAAUGUAAAUCCUGUCUUUAGAUCCUGACAUUCACUCCUGUGCAAAUUACUUAGGUAUGACUAGGCUGAUUUUAAACUAAUGAGUGCAGGCACAUUCAACCCCUCAAGAGAAUCUGAGAUUCUGUAAAGAAAAGUUAUAAACCUUCUAUCAUUCCAUCUAAGAACUUAAAAUCUCUCCGGGACUAUAUAACAUAAAUACUGCCAGGUUUAUAAAUGAUUGCCUAUCUGAAUUUUUAUAUCUACCAAAGUUAGUAAAUUAGCAACCCAAUUCAAUUGUCAAAAAUACUAAGCAAAAGAAAUCCAUAUUGCUUUUGGUAUCAAAUUAUGUAUUUGUGCAUCUAAAAACAUUUAAUACUCAAGUGUUCUCACAGAAAAAAAAAUAUUUGAUUUUUCAUUAAGUUCCUGAAAUGCUUUAAUGCAUUCUAUGAUUUUGUUAGUGUGAAUUUAAAUGUAGAGGAGAAUGCAGUGUGCUAAGUGAUAUGCCAGUGUUUCAUUACAUUCAUUUAUGAAAAAAUAAUUCUUGAUAAUAUGAAUGCAUGAGAACCUGUUUUGUAAAAUAAACUGCUUGGGGGGUUGCCUUUAAAAAUGUUUCACUACUUACCAUAGAAUCUAUACUUAAAAACUGCAUUCCCAAGACUCUUACAGUGGCUUUUAUACCUAUCUCCCUGGUAUAUCGAGGGAACAUACCUCUAGAGAAAGAAACCAUUUGGGCAGCGAGAAUCUUACUUCUCUAACUUGGUAGGCAACUUUAGCUCAGUUGAAACUGCUGCAGACAAUGUUUUGCACUACUUUCUUAAUAAUAGACUGGGAUAGGGAAUAAUAGACUGGUGGGGAUUAUGUUGGAAGAUGUAGAAAAGCAGAAAAUAUAUAUUUCACGCUAAAGGAAGAUUCUUUAAAUAAUAAACAAUCUCAUCAAAGCUGAUUUUUAAAAAUAUUUUUAUUUAGAGAUAUGUUGUUGAAUACUAUUUCUUAUAAUAGAACUAUUUUGAUCUGUUUAUACACUAUGCUUGAAAGAACGUCAAUUAAAUUAUCUUUCUACAGAAAGGCUUUGACCUCAUUAUGCUCUAUUUAGUGCAUCAUGUUUAAAAUGACAUGCUUUACCUCUGCAUACCAUCACUGUUUGUUGCUAAAACAUUACUUCAUGAAGUUGAUGUUACUACCGAGAGUCUGAUAAUUUGUUUAAAAUAACUUGAUUAUACCUUGUGUGAGAUUUAUGUCUGUGCUGACAAUGUCUUCUCAGAUGUCUAUAAGCCUGAUAUUCUACAACCUCAGAUGUAUUUAGUGAAUCGUAACCAUUAACAUGACUAAUUUUGUUUCAUUGUAUCAAGUUUCAGAUGUUUAGUUCAAUGAUAAUGUUGACUACAUAUUCACUGCAUUAAAUAGAAAAGAAAAUAA
Molecule: long non-coding RNA, 9953 nt
Filed under: Marmota monax (woodchuck)
Lineage: Eukaryota; Metazoa; Chordata; Mammalia; Rodentia; Sciuridae
Source: RNAcentral